Molecule: non-coding RNA, 1129 nt
Organism: Oryctolagus cuniculus (rabbit)
Lineage: Eukaryota; Metazoa; Chordata; Mammalia; Lagomorpha; Leporidae
Source: the annotation of a RefSeq genome assembly
GUCUCUGUGGUCCUCACACACCUGCCUCUGGGGAGGGCCUGCUCUCAGCCUGCCUCCACAGGAGGGUGAAGAGAAGGGGGUGGAAGCAGAGGCGGGGCUACCUCCCUCUGCACUCACCCUUCUGGGCAGAGGCGUGGCUACCUUCUAAGGUAGGCCCUGCCCUGCCUGGUACUCUCCCUGCUCUGACAUCUGUCAGGAAGACCAGCUGCACUCCCUCACCUGGGGCCCCUCCCUUUUUGCGUAGGAUUAGAGUUUUGACAGGGCAUUCUGCUCCCCUUAUCACCAGAUCCCUUCCCUUCUGAGACCAGGAGAACAAGGCAUGCUGUGGACUGUAGCCCUGCUUGUAGCUGUCCUGUCUCCUGGCAGUCAAACAUCUUCCAACUCAGAGAAGACCAUGACAGUGGUCACCAAGCCAACUGGGUCAUCUGUUACAGUCACUUGUAGUAUUCCUCAACAAAGUGGCUACAUCCACUGGUACCGGUUCCAGGAGGGGAAGGCCCCACAGCGCCUUCUCUACUAUGACUUCUCCAUUUCCAGUUCUAUAGUGGAUUCAGGAUUCAGUCCAGUUAAAUACCAUGCUUUUAGAGGCACAAAGAUCUGUAACUUUGUACUACAAAAUCUGGAAGAAAGUGACUCCGGAGUGUAUUACUGUGCCAGCUCGACUGGCACAGUGAUUCCAACCUGCUUUGUACUCCACGCAAAAAAUUGCUUAUGGUUUCUCCUAGUACUCAAGAUAGGCCAGUCCCUACCUCACUUCCGGCUCUCAACUCCACCAUAGUCUAAACAAAGAGAAGCUCUUUAUCUUUUAGGUAAAGAGCCCAACAGCUAACCCCAGAGCUUCCAUCUCACACCCUCUCAAUGGCCUCACCGUGCCCCGGGACCCCACCUCUGAACCAUCCACCCCAGGACUUUCCUAAAAUAAAAUCCCAUAUCCAGGCCUUAACCCAGCAUUCUGACAGAAUACAGGGCUCAUUCUGCUCUCCUAGGGGCUGGCACAGCAGCAUUCAAUCUGGUUUCUAGGAUCGACAAAGUCACCUAGGAUUGGUCUGCUAUGAGAGACAACUGAGAGCAUUAUGUGUUUUAUAUAUAUAUAUAUAUACACACACACACACAUACACACACACAGACA